AAGACCUUGCACUUUUGGAGCGGCCGAUGUCUGAUUAGCUAGUUGGUGGGGUAAUGGCCUACCAAAGCUUCGAUCAGUAGCUGGUCUGAGAGGACGGCCAGCCACACUGGGACUGAGACACGGCCCAGACUCCUACGGGAGGCAGCAGUGGGGAAUUUUGGACAAUGGGCGCAAGCCUGAUCCAGCAAUGCCGCGUGAGUGAAGAAGGCCUUCGGGUUGUAAAGCUCUUUCAGUCGAGAAGAAAAGAUUACGACUAAUAAUCGUAAUUCAUGACGGUACCGACAGAAGAAGCACCGGCUAACUACGUGCCAGCAGCCGCGGUAAUACGUAGGGUGCGAGCGUUAAUCGGAAUUACUGGGCGUAAAGGGUGCGCAGGCGGCCUUGUAAGUCAGAUGUGAAAUCCCCGGGCUUAACCUGGGAACU
RNAcentral lists this ribosomal RNA (423 nucleotides) under uncultured bacterium. Its description in RNAcentral is "bacterial SSU rRNA". It matches the Rfam family "Bacterial small subunit ribosomal RNA", at positions 207 to 622 of the family's 1533-position model. The record is from RNAcentral.